Molecule: non-coding RNA, 893 nt
Organism: Punica granatum (pomegranate)
Lineage: Eukaryota; Viridiplantae; Streptophyta; Magnoliopsida; Myrtales; Lythraceae
Source: RefSeq, a predicted model, not a curated record
UUGCAUUCGAGUAUUGUAUAUGUGUGUACUAUUCCUUUGUCACUUUGUAAUCAGUGUGUUGUUCGAUGUGUCGUGUCGUUAUAAUUGAAGAUGAGUUGGCUAACAGUGCUAUGGGCAUCGGCCAUGUAUGAAUGGAUGUUCUCUCUUCCUAGUCCGACAGAGCACGAGUAAGAGUGUGGUAAUAACAUCAAUGUGCUUCUAAAAUUCUCUCUUCUCCUAUAUGCCAUCUUGAGUGAGGGAAGCAAUGGUAGCACAGAAAAGUCUCUGACGCCGGUGAUGGGCUUGCAGCAGAAGCGAAAGCUUAGUGGACCCUGAAGCUUCAAACCAAGCGAUGUGUUCAAUAAGUCUUGUAUUCGCGGAAAACUGAAAACCCGAAAGAUCAGAAGAAACAAGGUAGAAUCGACUGAAGAAGGCAAGGAGAGGUGAUGAGAUGCCGAAUUCUAGCGAGAACCACGGUCAGGACAUAUUGCAGUUGGGUCUUGGCUUGAGGAGCAAACUGCCGUUUGAGCAAGGGCCAUGAACCGUGGUUUGGGAGGCAUCGCAGCUUUUGAACCAUGACCAGGUAUGGCAAAUCGCUGUCCUGGGGUCGUCGUCCAGCACCAAAACAGGCAGGUUUUGGGUUAUUUUCGGGUACGAGUAAUUUCCUAUUCGACCCAGAUCUCUUGUAACUUGUUUUUUGCAUUAACGAGGAUACAUUUUAGAGGAUUUUAAGAUAUAUUCUGGCAAUAUUUAGAAUGUUGAAUCUACAUAUAUAACAAGGGGUGAGCCUUGUAAGAACACAUUUGUGUUUGUAACGAGGCUAGAAACACGAGAGUGAUUCCUGAUCUCAAUCUAGUGAAACCUCUGUCUUGUCCAUGGAUAUUUUUCUCGACUUGAGAGUUUUAUAUCACCUA